UGAAGAGACUGGGGGAAGGGGAAAGAGAGAAGCCAGAAAGAAAAGGAUUGGGGGCUAAAAGAGACCUUGUCCAGAAAAGACUGAUAAAUUCUUCUUUUCAGAUUCCUUGAUCACUGUGCUGGAACAAUGAUGCUCGCCCUGAAGUCUCCUGAUCAGGGGGUACUGCUCUCACAGGGACCAAAGGAGAAGGGAGAAGUCUCCGCCACAGCAACUGUGCUACUUGUCAAAGGGUGGCCUAUUGAACAUGAUUAACUUGACUCUGAUGGAAAGGAAAAAAUAACCUGGAAACAUCUGGCAAAUUGUAAAGCAGUGCCUAACAUUUUUUCCCUGUAGGAUUUAAUUCAGAAACAUACUUAAUGGAUCCCCAUUUACCUAAAGCACUAAAGGUUUUGAUGCAGGGGUUUGGGGGAUUUGGGUUUGGUUUCUCUCACCCCACUAGCUGUAGCUCUGUAAUGUUUCAUCUCAUACUCCUGAAUCCAUUAGAAAAAAUGUGCAAUUACAAGGUGGGCAUGGUGCUGUGUUGAAAAGGUGUUUACUGUUCCAGACUGGUUUGUUGUGCUUUGUAUGCACAUUUGAGUCUUGAAAUAUGUGAAAAUUAAUUUCCUGUGUUCCAUGUGGCUAAAAUGACAGUUGAAAUGUAAUUUAGGGACUCACACAAAUAGAAAUUUGAAAAUGAUUUUUAAGAAUUAAAGCAA
Molecule: long non-coding RNA, 695 nt
Organism: Melospiza georgiana
Lineage: Eukaryota; Metazoa; Chordata; Aves; Passeriformes; Passerellidae
Exons: 3
Source: RefSeq, a predicted model, not a curated record